Molecule: long non-coding RNA, 397 nt
Organism: Melanotaenia boesemani (Boeseman's rainbowfish)
Lineage: Eukaryota; Metazoa; Chordata; Actinopteri; Atheriniformes; Melanotaeniidae
Exons: 3
Source: RefSeq, a predicted model, not a curated record
GUGUGGAUAAUUAGCUGAUUCAAGAUCAGUUGUAUGUGUCAAACUAUCUGAGUAAUGCUCAUGCUGAAGCUCCUACAGCUGAUUUCUGGUCUGUUGGAUCACAUUGAACCAAAAGCAUCUUAAGAGCCGACGUAUAAGCCUCCUAACCCUUAAAGUUGCAUUUGCCGUUUGCGUGUCGUACAACUAGCAGCACACUAGAAAGCCUUCUGUAUCACUGGAGUCACCGCGAACUUGCAGAUUAAACAUUUGAAAGGUGAAGGAACAUCAACUUCACUCAGCCAGCCACAGGUCUGUGAAGUGCCACUCUCUAAUGAUGGUACCAGUGGUGAAAGUGAUUCAUAUGGCGUGUCAGAAGAUCAUGCUGAGAUGAAUGAUCCAGAGUUCCUUUCUUCUGCAA